RNAcentral lists this long non-coding RNA (1071 nucleotides) under Anser cygnoides (Swan goose). RNAcentral's name for it is "lncRNA (ENSACDG00005016837.1)". The record is from RNAcentral. Lineage: Eukaryota; Metazoa; Chordata; Aves; Anseriformes; Anatidae.
AUGCCACCUUGCUGCUUGUGCAUUCCGGGCGCUGCUUGUGCAUACCGGGCACUGCUCACGCAUACUGGGCGCUGCUUGUGCGUGCUGCACGCCGGUUGUGCACCUCACGCUCCUCUGCGUGGCGCCGGUUUUGCGUCUCACCCGCCGCUUGUGCAUGCCGCCCGUGUCACCCGCUGCCAACGUGUGUCACCCGCUGCUUGCACGCCGUUCCCGGCUCUGCAGGGCUGUCACCGGCACCGCGGCUGCCCCCGGAGCCGGGUUACUUCUGGUGGUGGAUUUCGGCCCCCGGCGUUGCCUUGUUCCCGGGUUUGGUGGCGUGGCCGUUGCUUGGUGCCCAGAGGGGGGUUAAUUACCCUCCAAAAGGUGAUUAAAACUGCUGGGUUACAGCUCGGGGGCUCAGCCGCGAUCCUUGGCCUUCCACCAUCGCCGCGCCUCGGGGGGACGCGGGCCAAGCCCGGCCCUUGGAGGCCGAACCGUGCCCAAAGCCCGGCCUCGGCUCCCCCCCGAACAAGCGCGGCCCUGGCGCCUUCGGUGGCGCCUCCGCUCGCUCCGCCGGGGCGGAUCCAAAGUACGCAUACUGAUUGGUCGGCUGCGGAGCGCGCCCUCCAGCUCAGCCAAUCCCCGCACGCCGUUCGCAUCCACCCAUCUCCAGCCCCCGUGGAGCCGCCCCAGGGCAGCCGCGGCGGGGCCGGGCCAAUCAGCGCAGACCGCGGGAAAUUCAAAGCCAUCCCCCGCCCUCGCCCCGCGCGCAGCCAAUGGGAAGCGCUGCACCCUGCGGGCAGCCAAUCAGGGUCGCAGCGAGGUUAUAAAGGGCGGAGGUUGUGCGGAGGGGCGUGCAGAAGGCGGCGGCGCCGCGAGGCAAUUUGCGGGCUCACGGCGGCCCCAAGCGGCCGUUUAUGGAAUCAGAAUCACCUCCCUUCCUCCGUCCCUGUAAGGCCUUUUGUCAGAUCUACUCGCCUUCAGCUCCCUACGCAAACACCUCCCCUCCUUUUAUUUCUAUUAAUUACAAUUAACGCCUUAUUUAAGCGCCUCGCGCUCUGCUUGAGCUGGCUCCUGCAGUGCCGCGGUUAA